The sequence is a ribosomal RNA, 877 nucleotides long. The stretch from base 540 to 693 matches the Rfam family "5.8S ribosomal RNA".
CGAAAAGGCAUCAUUCGCCGCUCAGCACGGAGACCUUGCAACCCUUAGGGGAGGCAGCACGACAGUAAACAAAGCUUGCCGUUUGCAAGUCGGCCAAUCGGUCGGCAACACAAUCGAAUUGACGGGGACCUCCUAAAGCCUGUAACACCAACCGUCCGGGGAAACUCGGGCGGGGCCCUCACGGGGUGGUAAGAGAGUACAGGAUGUAACAAUGGACAAUCCGCAGCGAAGACCCUACCGGCUCCGGCCCACGGGUACCGUUCACAGACUAAGUGAUUGUGGGCGGGGCGAUCGUGCCCUGUCUAAGAUAUAGUCGGACUCUACCCGAAAGGAUAGAGGAUAGCAUGUCCGUAGGUGAACCUGCGGAAGGAUCAUUAAAGAAUGCCCCGUUUUUUGAAAUGGGUUCUAUUCCCAAACCGUGUAUACAUACCUUUGUUGCUUUGGCAGGCCGCCUUCGGGCGUCGGCUCACGCUGACCGCGCCUGCCAGAGGACCCAAACUCGAUUGUUUAGUGAUGUCUGAGUACUAUAUAAUAGUUAAAACUUUCAACAACGGAUCUCUUGGUUCUGGCAUCGAUGAAGAACGCAGCGAAAUGCGAUAAGUAAUGUGAAUUGCAGAAUUCAGUGAAUCAUCGAAUCUUUGAACGCACAUUGCGCCCCUUGGUAUUCCGAGGGGCAUGCCUGUUCGAGCGUCAUUAUGACCACUCAAGCCUAGCUUGGUAUUGGGGUUCGCGGUCUCGCGGCCCUUAAAAUCAGUGGCGGUGCCAUCUGGCUCUAAGCGUAAUAAUUCAUCUCGCUAUUGGGUCCGGUGGUUGCUUGCCAACAACCCCCAACUUCUAAGGUUGACCUCGGAUCACGUAGGGAUACCCGCUGAACUUA